GACGAACGCUGGCGGCGUGCUUAACACAUGCAAGUCGAACGGAAAGGCCCUGCUUGCAGGGUGCUCGAGUGGCGAACGGGUGAGUAACACGUGGGUGAUCUGCCCCUUACUUUGGGAUAAGCCUGGGAAACUGGGUCUAAUACUGGAUAGGACCAUGCUGUAGGUGGUGUGGUGGAAAGAUUAGUUUCGGUAAGGGAUGAGCUCGCGGCCUAUCAGCUUGUUGGUGGGGUAAUGGCCUACCAAGGCGUCGACGGGUAGCCGGCCUGAGAGGGUGGACGGCCACGUUGGGACUGAGAUACGGCCCAGACUCCUACGGGAGGCAGCAGUGGGGAAUAUUGCACAAUGGGCGCAAGCCUGAUGCAGCGACGCCGCGUGGGGGAUGACGGCCUUCGGGUUGUAAACUCCUUUCAGCCAUGACGAAGCCCUUGUGGUGACGGUAGUGGUAGAAGAAGCACCGGCUAACUACGUG
Molecule: ribosomal RNA, 469 nt
Filed under: uncultured bacterium
Lineage: Bacteria
Description: partial 16S ribosomal RNA
Rfam family: Bacterial small subunit ribosomal RNA
Source: RNAcentral